Molecule: ribosomal RNA, 177 nt
Filed under: uncultured Ralstonia sp.
Lineage: Bacteria; Pseudomonadati; Pseudomonadota; Betaproteobacteria; Burkholderiales; Burkholderiaceae
Description: partial 16S ribosomal RNA
Rfam family: Bacterial small subunit ribosomal RNA
Source: RNAcentral
UGGGGAAUUUUGGACAAUGGGGGCAACCCUGAUCCAGCAAUGCCGCGUGUGUGAAGAAGGCCUUCGGGUUGUAAAGCACUUUUGUCCGGAAAGAAAUCGCACUGGUUAAUACCUGGUGUGGAUGACGGUACCGGAAGAAUAAGGACCGGCUAACUACGUGCCAGCAGCCGCGGUAAU